AGGUGAGCAAACCCGGAAGGGGAGGGGACGCUCCCGGGACUGCAGGAAACGGGCCUCGUGCCGGCCCACCCCUCGCUGGCUGUUCUCCAGGUCGUUCUGCUGGCCUGUCUCUCUCUCUCUCUCUCUCUCUCUCUCUCUCUCUCUCUCUCUCUCUCUCUCUCUCUCUCUCUCUCUCUCUCUCUCUCUCUCCCGCUCCCUCCCUCCCUCCCUCCCUCCCUCUCUUUUUCUCCCUCCUUCCCUCUCUCCCUCUCUCUGUCUCUCUGUCUCUGUUUGUCUCUCUGUCUCUGUCUCCUCCAGGGGAAGCCUGGCUGCAGCUCCCAGGGCUGGGCGGGUUGCCUCCUUCCAGCCUGAGACACGGGGGUGGGGGCAGCUGGCGUGGCCAACAGCACCUGGAGUUGGCGGUGGGGUGCUGACCAGGACGGCGUCACCGAGGCCGCGUGCCCGUCAUCCCCGUGCGAUGCAAGCCGUGUUUCUUGGCGGUCUUAAUGGACUUCAAGAGGGACACUCAGCGUCUAUUUACUCCUGCACGCACGCACAGGUCCUGUCUGAGGGGCGAUUAAGAAAGCUUUGCCUUUCUGCCCUGGAAGUGAACCUGCAGCGAAAGGUGAUUCACCGGAAAAGAGUGAGUGUGCAUGUUGUCUGCUCCUGGUAGGAGUCAGCGCUGGGAGGACCGUGCGGGUUCCGGCGUCUGUCCCUCCGGCUCGGAUCGCAGGCUGCAGGCAGCGCGUCCGUUUUCGAAGUAGAUGGACGGGCAGAAAAUCAGUGUUUUGCUCUGCUGACAAAGACACCCCUGAUAGCUCAAAGGCAGGAGACCAUAAAAUACCACAGAAACACGAUUCACGACGGAGGUGAAGCUUCGAGCGACCUCUGGGGGUGCCCCCCGCCCCCCUAUCCCAGGAGUGCGGUGGCUGAGAUGCGGGAGAGCAGAGUUUUUUCUUGGUUUUUUUUUUUUUAACGUUUGAAAACUUUUUAUUAUGAAAAAAUCGUAGACUUAAGAAGCGUCCCGGAGAUGGGGCGCCUGGGUGGCUCAGUCAGUUAAGC
Acinonyx jubatus (cheetah) is the source of this 1041-nucleotide long non-coding RNA. RefSeq lists it as uncharacterized. The record is from RefSeq and is a predicted model, not a curated record. The transcript is spliced from 2 exons. NCBI's taxonomy places the organism in Eukaryota, Metazoa, Chordata, Mammalia, Carnivora, Felidae.